Molecule: non-coding RNA, 378 nt
Filed under: Soboliphyme baturini
Lineage: Eukaryota; Metazoa; Nematoda; Enoplea; Dioctophymatida; Soboliphymatidae
Description: Eukaryotic large subunit ribosomal RNA
Rfam family: Eukaryotic large subunit ribosomal RNA
Source: Rfam by way of RNAcentral
AAUAAUGUAGGUAAGGGAAGUCGGUGAAUCAGAUCCGUAACUUCGGAAAAAGGAUUGGCUCUAAGAAUUUGGACGGGCACGCUGAUGCCCGUAGCGCAUGUGGACGUGUUGCUGGUUUGAUCGAUGGUUCCGGCGCAAGUUGGUACCGGAGAUCGUUCCGGACGCGAGACGUAUGCGCGGACCGUUUCAGCUGAGGGUCUGAUAUGAAAGUGUUGUGCAUUUCGUCCGGCCUUGAAAGGUCAACAUAGAACUGGCACGGACAAGUGGAUUCUGACUGUUUAAUUGAAACAUAUAUUCUAAUUAGCAAUUUUUAGACAAUUGAUUUUGAAAUUAUUAUGCUUUUAUCUUUUAAAACAUUUCCAUAGUCCAUGGUAUUGU